GGUUAAGCGACUAAGCGUACACGGUGGAUGCCCUGGCAGUCAGAGGCGAUGAAGGACGUGCUAAUCUGCGAAAAGCGCCGGCGAGGUGAUAUGAACCUUUGACCCGGCGAUGUCCGAAUGGGGAAACCCAGUGCAAUCCGUUGCACUAUCGUUAACUGAAUACAUAGGUUAACGAGGCGAACCGGGGGAACUGAAACAUCUAAGUACCCCGAGGAAAAGAAAUCAACCGAGAUUCCCCCAGUAGCGGCGAGCGAACGGGGAGCAGCCCGGAGUCUGAAUCAGCUUGUGUGUUAGUGGAACGGUCUGGAAAGUCCGACGGUACAGGGUGAUAGUCCCGUACACGAAAGCACACUUGCUGUGAACUCGAAGAGUAGGGCGGGACACGUGGUAUCCUGUCUGAAUAUGGGGGGACCAUCCUCCAAGGCUAAAUACUCCUGACUGACCGAUAGUGAACCAGUACCGUGAGGGAAAGGCGAAAAGAACCCCGGCGAGGGGAGUGAAAAAGAACCUGAAACCGUGUACGUACAAGCAGUGGGAGCCUCUUUAUGGGGUGACUGCGUACCUUUUGUAUAAUGGGUCAGCGACUUAUAUUCUGUAGCAAGGUUAACCGUAUAGGGGAGCCGAAGGGAAACCGAGUCUUAACUGGGCGUUAAGUUGCAGGGUAUAGACCCGAAACCCGGUGAUCUAGCCAUGGGCAGGUUGAAGGUUGGGUAACACUAACUGGAGGACCGAACCGACUAAUGUUGAAAAAUUAGCGGAUGACCUGUGGCUGGGGGUGAAAGGCCAAUCAAACCGGGAGAUAGCUGGUUCUCCCCGAAAGCUAUUUAGGUAGCGCCUCGUGAACUCAUCUUCGGGGGUAGAGCACUGUUUCGGCUAGGGGGCCAUCCCGGCUUACCAACCCGAUGCAAACUACGAAUACCGAAGAAUGUUAUCACGGGAGACACACGGCGGGUGCUAACGUCCGUCGUGAAGAGGGAAACAACCCAGACCGCCAGCUAAGGUCCCAAAGUCAUGGUUAAGUGGGAAACGAUGUGGGAAGGCACAGACAGCCAGGAUGUUGGCUUAGAAGCAGCCAUCAUUUAAAGAAAGCGUAAUAGCUCACUGGUCGAGUCGGCCUGCGCGGAAGAUGUAACGGGGCUAAACCAUGCACCGAAGCUGCGGCAGCGACACUAUGUGUUGUUGGGUAGGGGAGCGUUCUGUAAGCCGUUGAAGGUGUGCUGUGAGGCAUGCUGGAGGUAUCAGAAGUGCGAAUGCUGACAUAAGUAACGAUAAAGCGGGUGAAAAGCCCGCUCGCCGGAAGACCAAGGGUUCCUGUCCAACGUUAAUCGGGGCAGGGUGAGUCGACCCCUAAGGCGAGGCCGAAAGGCGUAGUCGAUGGGAAACAGGUUAAUAUUCCUGUACUUGGUGUUACUGCGAAGGGGGGACGGAGAAGGCUAUGUCAGCCGGGCGACGGUUGUCCCGGUUUAAGCAUGUAGGCGGAGGUUCCAGGUAAAUCCGGUACCUUUUAACGCUGAGGUGUGAUGACGAGGCACUACGGUGCUGAAGUGAUAAAUGCCCUGCUUCCAGGAAAAGCCUCUAAGCAUCAGGUAACACGAAAUCGUACCCCAAACCGACACAGGUGGUCAGGUAGAGAAUACCAAGGCGCUUGAGAGAACUCGGGUGAAGGAACUAGGCAAAAUGGUGCCGUAACUUCGGGAGAAGGCACGCUGAUGUGUAGGUGAAGCCCCUGCGGGUGGAGCUGAAAUCAGUCGAAGAUACCAGCUGGCUGCAACUGUUUAUUAAAAACACAGCACUGUGCAAACACGAAAGUGGACGUAUACGGUGUGACGCCUGCCCGGUGCCGGAAGGUUAAUUGAUGGGGUUAGCGGCAACGCGAAGCUCUUGAUCGAAGCCCCGGUAAACGGCGGCCGUAACUAUAACGGUCCUAAGGUAGCGAAAUUCCUUGUCGGGUAAGUUCCGACCUGCACGAAUGGCGUAAUGAUGGCCAGGCUGUCUCCACCCGAGACUCAGUGAAAUUGAACUCGCUGUGAAGAUGCAGUGUACCCGCGGCAAGACGGAAAGACCCCGUGAACCUUUACUAUAGCUUGACACUGAACACUGGUCCUUGAUGUGUAGGAUAGGUGGGAGGCUUUGAAGCGUGGACGCCAGUCUGCGUGGAGCCAACCUUGAAAUACCACCCUUUAAUGGCUGGUGUUCUAACGUAGACCCGUAAUCCGGGUUGCGGACAGUGUCUGGUGGGUAGUUUGACUGGGGCGGUCUCCUCCCAAAGAGUAACGGAGGAGCACGAAGGUUGGCUAAUCCUGGUCGGACAUCAGGAGGUUAGUGCAAUGGCAUAAGCCAGCUUGACUGCGAGCGUGACGGCGCGAGCAGGUGCGAAAGCAGGUCAUAGUGAUCCGGUGGUUCUGAAUGGAAGGGCCAUCGCUCAACGGAUAAAAGGUACUCCGGGGAUAACAGGCUGAUACCGCCCAAGAGUUCAUAUCGACGGCGGUGUUUGGCACCUCGAUGUCGGCUCAUCACAUCCUGGGGCUGAAGUAGGUCCCAAGGGUAUGGCUGUUCGCCAUUUAAAGUGGUACGCGAGCUGGGUUUAGAACGUCGUGAGACAGUUCGGUCCCUAUCUGCCGUGGGCGCUGGAGAAUUGAGGGGGGCUGCUCCUAGUACGAGAGGACCGGAGUGGACGCAUCACUGGUGUUCGGGUUGUCAUGCCAAUGGCACUGCCCGGUAGCUAAAUGCGGAAGAGAUAAGUGCUGAAAGCAUCUAAGCACGAAACUUGCCCCGAGAUGAGUUCUCCCUGAGACUUUAAGUCUCCUGAAGGAACGUUGAAGACGACGACGUUGAUAGGUCGGGUGUGUAAGCGCAGCGAUGCGUUGAGCUAACCGAUACUAAUGAACCGUGAGGCUUAACCUU
RNAcentral lists this ribosomal RNA (2904 nucleotides) under Enterobacter hormaechei. RNAcentral describes it as "23S ribosomal RNA". It matches the Rfam family "Bacterial large subunit ribosomal RNA". The record is from RNAcentral. RNAcentral also lists the same sequence under 2 other names. Lineage: Bacteria; Pseudomonadati; Pseudomonadota; Gammaproteobacteria; Enterobacterales; Enterobacteriaceae.